Molecule: small nuclear RNA, 107 nt
Organism: Choloepus didactylus (southern two-toed sloth)
Lineage: Eukaryota; Metazoa; Chordata; Mammalia; Pilosa; Megalonychidae
Source: RefSeq, a predicted model, not a curated record
GUGCUUGCUUCUACAUCACAUAUACCAAAAUUGAAACCAUACAGAGAAACUUAGUAUGGCCCUUGCGCAAGGAUGAUGUGAAAAUUCGUGAAGCUUUCCACAUUUUU